Molecule: RNA transcript, 913 nt
Organism: Carlito syrichta (Philippine tarsier)
Lineage: Eukaryota; Metazoa; Chordata; Mammalia; Primates; Tarsiidae
Gene name: chloride intracellular channel protein 1 pseudogene
Exons: 1
Source: RefSeq, a predicted model, not a curated record
CAGCCUGGGAGGGGACCAAAUUGGAGGAGCUGGGUGUGGGGAAGCCGAAUCUGGAGCAAGUGGUCUGAUCAGGAUUGUGUUGCAGUGAAGGGACAGCCCUAGGUCUGAGGGAGAGGAUCCCUGACUGUGAGACCCGACUUCCCUGGGCCCAGCCCCUCCCAAUUCCCCAAGCGUCCUCCACUUCCUGGUCCCCGAUGCAAGUAUGGCUGAAGAACAACCACAGGUCGAAUUGUUCAUGAAGGCUGGCAGUGAUGGGGCCAAGAUUGGGAACUGCCCCUUCUCCCAGAGACUGUUCAUGGUGCUCUGGCUCAAGGGAGUCACCUUCAACGUCACCACUGUUGACACCAAGAGGCAGACCGAGACAGUACAGAAGCUGUGCCCAGGAGGGCAGCUCCCAUUCCUGCUGUAUGGCACUGAAGUGCACACAGACACCAACAAGAUUGAGGAAUUUCUGGAGGCAGUGCUGUGCCCUCCCAGGUACCCCAAGCUGGCAGCUCUGAACCCUGAGUCCAACACAGCUGGACUAGACAUAUUUGCCAAAUUUUCUGCCUAUAUCAAGAAUUCAAACCCAGCACUCAAUGAUAAUCUGGAGAAGGGGCUCCUAAAAGCCCUGAAGAUUUUAGACAGUUACUUGACAUUCCCCCUCCUAGAAGAAGUAGAUGAAACCAGUGCUGAUGAUGAGGAAAUUUCUGGAUGGCAAUGAGCUCACCCUGGCUGACUACAACCUUUUGCCAAAGCUGCACAUAGUACAAGUGGUGUGUAAGAAGUACCGGGGAUUCACCAUGCCUGAGGCCUUCCAGGGAGUGCAUCGGUACUUGAGAAAUGCCUAAGCCCGGAAGAAUUUGCCUCCACCUGUCCAGAUGAUGAGGAGAUGGAGCUGGCCUAUGAGCAAGUAGCCAAGGCCCUCAAAUAA